CCUACGGGUGGCAGCAGUGAGGAAUAUUGGUCAAUGGACGAGAGUCUGAACCAGCCAAGUAGCGUGAAGGAUGACUGCCCUAUGGGUUGUAAACUUCUUUUAUAUGGGAAUAAAAUGUUCCACGUGUGGGAUUUUGUAUGUACCAUAUGAAUAAGGAUCGGCUUACUCCGUGCCAGCAGCCGCGGUAAUACGGAGGAUCCGAGCGUUAUCCGGAUUUAUUGGGUUUAAAGGGAGCGUAGGUGGAUUGUUAAGUCAGUUGUGAAAGUUUGCGGCUCAACCGUAAAAUUGCAGUUGAAACUGGCAGUCUUGAGUACAGUAGAGGUGGGCGGAAUUCGUGGUGUAGCGGUGAAAUGCUUAGAUAUCACGAAGAACUCCGAUUGCGAAGGCAGUUCACUGGACUGCAACUGACACUGAGGCUCGAAAGUGUGGGUAUCAAACAGGAUUAGAUACCCGAGUAGUC
RNAcentral lists this ribosomal RNA (460 nucleotides) under uncultured bacterium. Its description in RNAcentral is "partial 16S ribosomal RNA". It matches the Rfam family "Bacterial small subunit ribosomal RNA", at positions 338 to 795 of the family's 1533-position model. The record is from RNAcentral.